GACGAACGCUGGCGGCGUGCUUAACACAUGCAAGUCGAACGGGCCUGUCUUCUUUUUUGGGGGUGGGUUGAGUGGCGAACGGGUGAGUAUCACGUGAGUAACCUGCCCUUCGGUCCUGGAUAACCGCUUGAAAGGGCGGCUAAUACGGGGUGGUCCGGUUGGUCCGCAUGGGCUGGUCGGGAUAGAUUCACUGUUUUUGGUGUUUCGGCGGGGGAUGGGCUCGCGGCCUAUCAGCUUGUUGGUGGGGUGAUGGCCUACCAAGGCGGUGACGGGUAGCCGGCCUGAGAGGGUGGGCGGCCACACUGGGACUGAGAUACGGCCCAGACUCCUGCGGGAGGCAGCAGUGGGGGGUAUUGCACAAUGGGCGGAAGCCUGAUGCAGCGACGUCGCGUGAGGGAUGGAGGCCUUCGGGUUGUGAACCUCUGUUUCCGGUGGUGAAGGCCCUGUCCGUGUGGUGGGGUUGACGGUAGCCGGGGAUGAAGCGCCGGCUAACUACGU
RNAcentral lists this ribosomal RNA (498 nucleotides) under uncultured bacterium. RNAcentral describes it as "partial 16S ribosomal RNA". It matches the Rfam family "Bacterial small subunit ribosomal RNA", at positions 28 to 506 of the family's 1533-position model. The record is from RNAcentral.